Small nuclear RNA from Otolemur garnettii (small-eared galago), 102 nucleotides. Lineage: Eukaryota; Metazoa; Chordata; Mammalia; Primates; Galagidae. The record is from Ensembl.
UUGCUUCAGCAGCACAUAUAACAAAAUCAGAAAGAUACAGAGAAGAUUAGCAUGACCCUGAGCAAGGGUGACACACAAACUCAUGAAACAUUCCCCCCAAGU